Molecule: ribosomal RNA, 492 nt
Filed under: uncultured bacterium
Lineage: Bacteria
Description: partial 16S ribosomal RNA
Rfam family: Bacterial small subunit ribosomal RNA
Source: RNAcentral
AGUGAACGCUGGCGGUAGGCCUAACACAUGCAAGUCGAACGGCAGCACAGUAAGAGCUUGCUCUUACGGGUGGCGAGUGGCGGACGGGUGAGGAAUGCAUCGGAAUCUACUUUUUCGUGGGGGAUAACGUAGGGAAACUUACGCUAAUACCGCAUACGACCUACGGGUGAAAGCAGGGGAUCUUCGGACCUUGCGCGAUUGAAUGGGCCGAUGUCGGAUUAGCUAGUUGGCGGGGUAAAGGCCCACCAAGGCGACGAUCCGUAGCUGGUCUGAGAGGAUGAUCAGCCACACUGGAACUGAGACACGGUCCAGACUCCUACGGGAGGCAGCAGUGGGGAAUAUUGGACAAUGGGCGCAAGCCUGAUCCAGCCAUACCGCGUGGGUGAAGAAGGCCUUCGGGUUGUAAAGCCCUUUUGUUGGGAAAGAAAAGCAGCAGGUUAAUACCCCGCUGUUCUGACGGUACCCAAAGAAUAAGCACCGGCUAACUUCGUG